This 857-nucleotide unclassified non-coding RNA is filed under the name Bombus terrestris (buff-tailed bumblebee). RNAcentral describes it as "misc RNA ENSBTSG00005027488.1". The record is from RNAcentral. Lineage: Eukaryota; Metazoa; Arthropoda; Insecta; Hymenoptera; Apidae.
UCUCUGUCGCGCAAGAUUAUUCGGUGAAAUAUGACCAACGCACGUGAUGUAAUUCCACUACGUAAGGAAUUUCGUAAUCGAACAACAACAUCGGACAACGUGUGGUUUUUGCGACAUCAGAGCAGAAGGUUCACGAGCAUGUGUGCGUGAUCAAGUAGAGAUCGAUGCCACGAGGCUGACCACGUUAGUAUCCAAGUUACAGUAUAGAGUUCCAUCGCGGAAGAGGAUGGAAGAACCGACAUGAACAAUGCGACACCAAGUGGCCAAGAGCUGCGAAACUACUUACUGUUACAGUUUCGGUGAUCCUGUGUCUUCGUUCUUGGCCAACCAAUUCGUCGAAAGAACAUCCGCGCCAUGGUCUGCUGUAUUCGAGACUGACAGGACAGUAUGACGUCCUUUAAACGGAUCUCCUUUGGCAACCACAUCGGUUCCAGGAAGAAAUUAUUUAAGACUGCCCUUUCGAUGCGAUAAUUACCGCACCCUCGACGAAAUACCUACCUUCUAGAAGAAAACCAAACAGGAAAACGAUCUGAGAACGUGAAUGUUCGACUUUGACAACGUUUCAAAUCGUUUCCUUCGAUGUCCAGGACUGCGUCACGCGGUACGAAAUAUCAUGGAUGGUGAAAUAUUUCAUGGAAUAUUGCAUAUCACGAGAAACCGAUAAUUGCUCGAGAGAACGUUAUAUCAAACGGUAAUCACGAUUAAUCGAAUACAGAGAGUCGAUCAGGGCCGCGUCGAAAGCGAUGUCAUCCUACGCGCCGAAAUAAUUUCGAGAUCGAAAAAUAAUUUGAUGUUCAAUCAUCGACGAUGACGCGUAUACGCAUAACACAUAGGGCAUCAAUGACGCGAUAUCAUUU